RNAcentral lists this ribosomal RNA (1004 nucleotides) under uncultured bacterium. Its description in RNAcentral is "bacterial SSU rRNA". It matches the Rfam family "Bacterial small subunit ribosomal RNA", at positions 9 to 1005 of the family's 1533-position model. The record is from RNAcentral.
GAGUUUGAUCAUGGCUCAGGAUGAACGCUAGCGGCAGGCCUAACACAUGCAAGUCGAGGGGCAGCACAAAGAUAGUUUACUAUUUUGGUGGCGACCGGCGCACGGGUGAGUAACGCGUAUGCAACCUACCUUAUACAGGAGUAUAGCCCGAAGAAAUUCGGAUUAAUCCUCCAUAGUAUUUUCUAAUGGCAUCAUUUGGAAAAUUAAAGCUUCGGCGGUAUAAGAUGGGCAUGCGUCCUAUUAGCUAGAUGGUAAGGUAACGGCUUACCAUGGCAACGAUAGGUAGGGGGCCUGAGAGGGUGAUCCCCCACACUGGUACUGAGACACGGACCAGACUCCUACGGGAGGCAGCAGUGAGGAAUAUUGGGCAAUGGAGGCAACUCUGACCCAGCCAUGCCGCGUGCAGGAAGAAUGCCCUAUGGGUUGUAAACUGCUUUUAUUUAGGAAUAAACCCUUCUACGUGUAGAAGGCUGAAUGUACUAAACGAAUAAGCACCGGCUAACUCCGUGCCAGCAGCCGCGGUAAUACGGAGGGUGCAAGCGUUAUCCGGAAUCAUUGGGUUUAAAGGGUCCGCAGGCGGACGUAUAAGUCAGUGGUGAAAUCCUGCAGCUUAACUGCAGAACUGCCAUUGAUACUGUACGUCUUGAAUUCGGUCGAAGUGGGCGGAAUGUGUAGUGUAGCGGUGAAAUGCAUAGAUAUUACACAGAACACCGAUAGCGAAGGCAGCUCACUAGGCCUGGAUUGACGCUCAGGGACGAAAGCGUGGGGAUCAAACAGGAUUAGAUACCCUGGUAGUCCACGCUGUAAACGAUGAUUACUCGUUUUCGGCGAUAUACAGUCGGAGACUAAGCGAAAGUGAUAAGUAAUCCACCUGGGGAGUACGAUCGCAAGGUUGAAACUCAAAGGAAUUGACGGGGCCCGCACAAGCGGUGGAGCAUGUGGUUUAAUUCGAUGAUACGCGAGGAACCUUACCAGGGCUUAAAUGCAGAGCGAAUAGNUUUGGA